Gaeumannomyces graminis is the source of this 86-nucleotide transfer RNA. It matches the Rfam family "tRNA". Rfam says of the family: Transfer RNA (tRNA) molecules are approximately 80 nucleotides in length. Their secondary structure includes four short double-helical elements and three loops (D, anti-codon, and T loops). The record is from Rfam. Lineage: Eukaryota; Fungi; Ascomycota; Sordariomycetes; Magnaporthales; Magnaporthaceae.
GGUCGUAUAGUGUAGUUGGUUAUCACACCAGGUUCUGAUUCGAGAAUCGUCUCCUGGUGGCCUGGGUUCGAAUCCCAGUAGGACCU